This 197-nucleotide ribosomal RNA is filed under the name Gephyrocapsa oceanica. Its description in RNAcentral is "partial Eukaryotic large subunit ribosomal RNA". It matches the Rfam family "Eukaryotic large subunit ribosomal RNA", at positions 131 to 340 of the family's 3401-position model. The record is from RNAcentral. Lineage: Eukaryota; Haptophyta; Isochrysidales; Noelaerhabdaceae.
UAUGGCGCCGAAUUGUGGUCUGUAGACUUUGACGUUAUCUGCCGGGCCAAGUUCCUUGGAAAAGGACAGCUGAGAGGGUGAAACUCCCGUUCGCCUGGUAGAAUGAGUCUUUGUCAACGAGUCGAGUUGUUUGGGAUUGCAGCUCUAAUUUGGUGGUAAAUUCCAUCUAAAGCUAAAUAUUGGUGGGAGACCGAUAG